CAUGACAACAUGGAUGUAACCAGCAAUUUCCUUGGAGCCAUGUGGUUGAUCUCAAUAACUUUUCUAACCAUUGGAUAUGGGGAUAUGGUCCCCAAUACAUACUGUGGGAAAGGAGUCUGUCUCCUCACCGGCAUUAUGGGUGCAGGAUGCACUGCUUUGGUGGUCGCUGUGGUCGCAAAAAAACUGGAAUUAACCAAAGCCGAAAAACAUGUACAUAACUUUAUGAUGGACACCCAGCUGACAAAAAGGGU
Molecule: long non-coding RNA, 251 nt
Organism: Sinocyclocheilus grahami
Lineage: Eukaryota; Metazoa; Chordata; Actinopteri; Cypriniformes; Cyprinidae
Exons: 2
Source: RefSeq, a predicted model, not a curated record